Molecule: ribosomal RNA, 460 nt
Filed under: uncultured bacterium
Lineage: Bacteria
Description: partial 16S ribosomal RNA
Rfam family: Bacterial small subunit ribosomal RNA
Source: RNAcentral
CCUACGGGCGGCAGCAGUGAGGAAUAUUGGUCAAUGGACGAGAGUCUGAACCAGCCAAGUAGCGUGAGGGAAGACGGCCCUACGGGUUGUAAACCUCUUUUGUCAGGGAGCAAGGUGCAGGUCGGGACCUGCUGUGAGAGUACCUGAAGAAAAAGCAUCGGCUAACUCCGUGCCAGCAGCCGCGGUAAUACGGAGGAUCCGAGCGUUAUCCGGAUUUAUUGGGUUUAAAGGGUGCGUAGGCGGCCUUUUAAGUCAGCGGUGAAAGUCUGUGGCUCAACCAUAGAAUUGCCGUUGAAACUGGGAGGCUUGAGUAUGUUUGAGGCAGGCGGAAUGCGUGGUGUAGCGGUGAAAUGCUUAGAUAUCACGCAGAACCCCGAUUGCGAAGGCAGCCUGCCAAGCCAUGACUGACGCUGAUGCACGAAAGCGUGGGGAUCAAACAGGAUUAGAUACCCCUGUAGUC